RNAcentral lists this ribosomal RNA (515 nucleotides) under Ophiodes striatus. RNAcentral's name for it is "partial 16S ribosomal RNA". It matches the Rfam family "Bacterial large subunit ribosomal RNA", at positions 1811 to 2604 of the family's 2925-position model. Lineage: Eukaryota; Metazoa; Chordata; Lepidosauria; Squamata; Diploglossidae. The record is from RNAcentral.
AAACAUAGCCUCUAGCAUUAAAUAUUAGAGGUCCCGCCUGCCCAGUGACACCAACCUGUUAAACGGCCGCGGUAUACUAACCGUGCAAAGGUAGCGUAAUCACUUGUCCCCUAAAUAGAGACUAGUAUGAACGGCUAAAUGAGGGCCUACCUGUCUCCUUUAACUAAUCAGUGAAAUUGAUCUACCAGUACAAAAGCUGGCAUAAACCCAUAAGACGAGAAGACCCUGUGGAGCUUUAAAUGAAAAUCAACCAUCACCAUGAACCACCAUUUUUAGUUGGGGCGACUACGGAAAAAAACAAAACUUCCAAGCAAUAACCCACCCAGACCCACACGUCCUCACCCGACCCAGUACCACUGAAUAACGAACCAAGUUACCCCAGGGAUAACAGCGCUAUCUUCUUUCAGAGUCCCCAUCGCCAAGAAGGUUUACGACCUCGAUGUUGGAUCAGGACACCCAAAUGGUGCAGCCACUAUUAAAGGUUCGUUUGUUCAACGAUUAAUGUCCUACGUGAU